RNAcentral lists this ribosomal RNA (465 nucleotides) under uncultured bacterium. RNAcentral's name for it is "partial 16S ribosomal RNA". It matches the Rfam family "Bacterial small subunit ribosomal RNA", at positions 338 to 795 of the family's 1533-position model. The record is from RNAcentral.
CCUACGGGAGGCAGCAGUGGGGAAUAUUGCACAAUGGACGCAAGUCUGAUGCAGCAAUGCCGCGUGAGUGAAGAAGGCUUUCGGCUUGUAAAGCUCUGUUGGUAGUGAGGAAAGAUACAGGUCGAAAAUCGUUGUGAUUUGACGGUACUGACAUAGAAAGUCACGGCUAACUACGUGCCAGCAGCCGCGGUAAUACGUAGGGGGCAAGCGUUGUCCGGAUUUAUUGGGCGUAAAGCGAGUGCAGGCGGUUCAAUAAGUCUGAUGUGAAAGCCUUCGGCUCAACCGGUGAAUUGCAUCUGAUACUGUUGAGCUAGAGUGCAGUAGAGGGAGGUGGAAUUCCAUGUGUAGCGGUGAAAUGCGUAGAGAUGUGGAAGAACACCGAUGGCGAAGGCGGCUCUCUGGUCUACAACUGACGCUGAGGCACGAAAGCGUGGGGAGCGAACAGGAUUAGAUACCCGUGUAGUC